RNAcentral lists this long non-coding RNA (214 nucleotides) under Elaeis guineensis (African oil palm). Its description in RNAcentral is "long non-coding RNA (EGUI_LNC047718)". Lineage: Eukaryota; Viridiplantae; Streptophyta; Magnoliopsida; Arecales; Arecaceae. The record is from RNAcentral.
GCUUGAUUAUCUACCAUCCAAGAGAUCUAUUCUCCAUGUUUGCCUCUUGAUUUGGUCAUUUACCGACUAGGAGAUCUUAUCUUCAUUUUUAAAUUUUUGGUCUAGUCUUCACCGAUCAGGAGAUCUUUUUGUAUUUGAAUUUUCGGUGUGAUCAGAAGAUUUUAUCUCUAUAUUUGAUUUUUCACUCGAUGGCAAAGUUAACAUAUGUCAUAUG